Molecule: ribosomal RNA, 459 nt
Filed under: uncultured bacterium
Lineage: Bacteria
Description: partial 16S ribosomal RNA
Rfam family: Bacterial small subunit ribosomal RNA
Source: RNAcentral
CCUACGGGAGGCAGCAGUGAGGAAUAUUGGUCAAUGGUCGGGAGACUGAACCAGCCAAGCCGCGUGAGGGAUGACGGUACAGAGUAUCGUAAACCUCUUUUGUCAGGGAACAAAGGCGGGGACGUGUCCCCGGAUGAGUGUACCUGAAGAAAAAGCAUCGGCUAACUCCGUGCCAGCAGCCGCGGUAAUACGGAGGAUGCGAGCGUUAUCCGGAUUUAUUGGGUUUAAAGGGUGCGCAGGCGGUCUGUUAAGUCAGCGGUCAAAGCCCGGGGCUCAACCCCGGCCAGCCGUUGAACCUGGUAGUCUAGAGUGGGAGAGAGGUAUGCGGAAUGCGCGGUGUAGCGGUGAAAUGCAUAGAUAUCGCGCAGAACUCCGAUUGCGAAGGCAGCAUGCCGGCUCCACACUGACGCUGAGGCACGAAAGCGUGGGUAUCGAACAGGAUUAGAUACCCCUGUAGUC